This 1231-nucleotide ribosomal RNA is filed under the name metagenome. RNAcentral's name for it is "bacterial LSU rRNA". It matches the Rfam family "Bacterial large subunit ribosomal RNA", at positions 1564 to 2805 of the family's 2925-position model. The record is from RNAcentral.
UGAAUACGAGAUGCUACGGCGUCGAAGCAGUGUAUGUCAGACUUCCAAGAAAAGCUCGCAAUGUCAUAAAUAAAGAAUGCCUGUACCAUAACCGACACAGGUGGGUAGGUAGAGUAUACUAAGGGGCGCGAGAUAACUCUCUCUAAGGAACUCGGCAAAAUAACUCCGUAACUUCGGGAGAAGGAGUGCCUUCUUUAAGAAGGUUGCAAUAACAAGACCCAAGCAACUGUUUAUCAAAAACACAGGUCUCCGCUAAGUCGUAAGACGAUGUAUGGGGGCUGACGCCUGCCCAGUGCCAGAAGGUUAAAGAAGCUGGUUAGCAAUAGCGAAGCUGGUGACUGAAGCCCUGGUGAACGGCGGCCGUAACUAUAACGGUCCUAAGGUAGCGAAAUUCCUUGUCGGGUAAGUUCCGACCCGCACGAAAGGCGUAAUGAUUUGGAUACUGUCUCGGAGAGGGACUCGGUGAAAUAGACUUGUCUGUGAAGAUGCGGACUACCUGCACCAGGACAGAAAGACCCUAUGAAGCUUUACUGUAACCUGAAAUUGAAAUUGGACUUUAUUUGCGCAGUAUAGGUGGGAGGCGUUGAAAGUAAUCUUGCGGGAUUAGUGGAGCCAUCAGUGAGAUACCACUCCUAUAAUGUUAGAUUUCUAACUUUGGAUCAUGAUCUGGUAAAGAACAGUUUCAGGCGGGCAGUUUGACUGGGGCGGUCGCCUCCCAAAUGGUAACGGAGGCGUACAAAGGUUUCCUCUGAACGGGUAGAAAUCGUAUCUAGAGUGUAAAGGCAUAAGGAAGCUUGACUGUGAGACCUACAAGUCGAGCAGGGACGAAAGUCGGUCUUAGUGAUCUGACGGUGCUGAGUGGAAAGGCCGUCACUCAACGGAUAAAAGUUACUCUAGGAUAACAGGCUGAUCUCCCCCAAGAGUUCACAUCGACGGGGAGGUUUGGCACCUCGAUGUCGGCUCAUCGCAUCCUGGGGCGGUAGUACGUCCCAAGGGUUGGGCUGUUCGCCCAUGAAAGCGGUACGCGAGCUGGGUUCAGAACGUCGUGAGACAGUUCGGUCCAUAUCCGGUGUAGGCGUUAGAAUAUUGAGAGGAGCCUUCUCUAGUACGAGAGGACCGAGAAGGACAUACCUCUGGUGUACCAGUUAUCGUGCCAACGGUAAACGCUGGGUAGCUAUGUAUGGAGAGGAUAACCGCUGAAAGCAUCUAAGUGGGAAGCCCACCUCAAGAU